Molecule: long non-coding RNA, 1637 nt
Organism: Schistocerca nitens (vagrant locust)
Lineage: Eukaryota; Metazoa; Arthropoda; Insecta; Orthoptera; Acrididae
Exons: 5
Source: RefSeq, a predicted model, not a curated record
GUCUGCUACAGACUGCCCGUAGCUCAGCUUUGGGAGUUGCUUUCGCACAAAAGCACCAUCUUACAGCAAUUCCUCGAACGAGUUCCACCUAUCGACAGUAGAUGGCAGGAGAGUACGGACGGAGGUCGUCGAUAGACGAUAGCGUAUUGAGCAGUGAGCACAGAAGCCGGCUGCUGGUUUGUGACAAGAAGUGGUAAAUGCUGCACAUAGCCAAGUUUCUACCGUAUUUUACCGUAGUCAUUAAAAUUAAGUACGGUACACACAAGUCGCAGGUAUAAGCUUGCGAAAACUGCUCGGCAGUCACUGGUGUGAAUAUUACCAGACUAUCAGCUUAUAAUGGGAAUACUAACAGGUAUUCCUUACAGAAGUAUAGAAAACUGGUAGAAGCUGAACUUGGAGAAGAUCAGUUUGGAUUUCGAAGGAAUGUUAAACACAUGAGGCAACACUGACCCUAAGACUUGUCUUAAAAGGAACCACUGAAAAAUGGCAGGAGCUGAAGCACUUCCAAACAUCAGUCAUUGAAACUAGAACAAACACUGUUGAGUGUUGAUCACAGAAUAUUGUCUGGACUGCUCAUCCAGCAGCAACUCUGCUGCCGAUGUGGGAACAUGCUGCUGAAAUUGAAAUUCAUAUGAUGAAACUCAAUGUGCCCUUAUCUCACAUCAUGAGAUUCUGUGAGCUGUGGAUAAAGGGCAACAGGUGGAGUCCAUAUUCCUAGAUAUCUGAAAAGCAUUUGACAAAGUACCACAUUGCUCACUGUUAACAAAGGUACAAGCAUACAGACUAUGUUACCAGAUAUGUGAGUGGCUCAAAGACUUCUUAAAUAACAGAACCCCGUAGGUUGUUCUUAAAGGCAAGUGUUCGUCAGAGACAAGGGUAUCGACAGGAGUGUACCAGGGAAGUGUGAUAUGACCACUGUUAUUUUAGAUAUACAUAAAUUAUCUGGUAGACAGGGCAUGCAGCAGUCUGUGGCUGUUUGCUGAUGAUGCAUUGAGAGGAUGUUAUACUCUAAUCUCCUUUUCUUUCUUCAUUGUAUUAACACUGAUCUAAGUAAUAAAUCCAAAGUGCAUAUUAACAGGAAUAAAAGCGAAGGAAGGAAGUGGUCAGUGUAUAUAAAAAGAAGAUGCCAUGAAUUAAAGAAUGCAGACUUCUAGUUUCAAAUAGUUGUGAAUUUUUUAACAUCAUAUGGGACAAUUAAAACUGACACAAAAAGCAGAAUAGCUCAAAACAAGAAAACAUUUUCAAAAGAAAAAUCUAUCAAGAGUACUGAGAAAUAUUUGUUCCAGAACGAGAAAAAGCCUUUAAGAUUCCUGAAUGAAAAAAAUGUCCUAUAAAGGCACUCAGAGCUGAAGCUCGACCAGUAGAAUGCUCAUGUGAACUGAUCCCUCCAAGCACAGGUUUGAUGAGAGUGCUAACCUCACUCAACAGUUACAGUUUUGAGUUCCAGACCUGGCCAGAUACACAGUUUAAAUUUAUCAAAAAUUUUACUACAUUGUGUACUUUCCUAUGUAAUAUCUCUUCUCUACACCUCUUAAGUGCAGUAUUAUAAUCUCCACAGUAAGAAUUAUGAAUGGUUUCCUUUUGAUGAUGUGAGGCUACACUAGCCUAAUAAUUAUCUUAUGCAGACUAGUGUGAAU